Molecule: non-coding RNA, 97 nt
Organism: Mycena vulgaris
Lineage: Eukaryota; Fungi; Basidiomycota; Agaricomycetes; Agaricales; Mycenaceae
Source: the annotation of a GenBank genome assembly
GGCCUAGUGGUGAAAGGAAUCCCACCCACUCUCUAUAAUACGAGCGUAAGUACUAGAGGUUUAGUGGGAGCUCCCGGUUCGAGUCUGGGUUAGGUCA